This is a long non-coding RNA of Oreochromis niloticus (Nile tilapia), 2763 nucleotides long. Lineage: Eukaryota; Metazoa; Chordata; Actinopteri; Cichliformes; Cichlidae. The record is from Ensembl.
AUGGAAAGAAGGAAGUGUCUGUUCUCUGGCCCCAGAGCUUCUGAUAGAGAAAUAGGAAGUCACGUCGAGGAACUUCCGAGGGCGGGCAUAUACAGCAGCCAUUUUGUAAGCAAGAUGGCGGAAAGUUUAACCGGGACAUCCAGUGGACAAAAAGCAUAUAAGCCACUAAAUGAUCAGCUUGAAGAGUUAAACAAAGCCAUCCACAUGGCCUGCACAAAAACAACUAAAGUAGCAGACAAAGAAUUUAGGGCUGUAAGGAAACGUGUUGAGAAAUUAUGUGCUGCUCAGCAAAGAACUUUGCAAGAUAGACAACCUCUUCUCCUGAUUUUUGAAGAGGAAAGGGAGAACUGUGCAAAAAGAUUACAGCAAUUGCAGCAGGAAACAUUAACACAUGCGAUAAACAGACACACCAAAGCAGAAAUAAAACUCUUAAAGGAAACUCACGCAAAACUCUGUAGAUGGAUAAUAAUGUGUAAAGGGAUUUCAGCUUGGAUGAAAGAGGAUGAGGCUCAAGCUCAAGAGGUAAGUUCACCUCUCUCACAACAGGAAAAGAAACCAGAAAACGUAGAACAGGUGCUCACCAUGAUGAAAUCUUUUCAGGAAUUGCAGCAGGAAAAUAAGAAACUGGAAGGACAAAUACAUUUGCUGAACACAGCAAGGGAGAAACUGGAGCAUGCGCAUGCGAAGCUAGCACUGCCUUCCAACCCUCUCCCCACCUCUUCUGAAUUACUAGGAGACACACUGCCACCACACCCACCUCAAUCACCAGUAGACUCUUUGCAACCGUUCCAUCCUUGGGUCGUUCAGGCGCCAUCUGCUCCGCCCCCUCCUUAUGUUUUCCCCAUAAUGUCUUUAGCAGGAGGAGAGAUCAGAGGGCCACAAGGACAAAAGGGCGCAGUAAUUGGAGGUUUUGCAGAUGUUGUACACAUUACUCCUGCAGCAGCAGCAGGUCAGCAACCUAGCGCACAGCCCAGGGCGGUACAGCCUAUGGGUAUGGGAGGAGCAGCUUCAGCUAAGGCUGGAGCCUCAACUUCAUCUCCCAAGUCUGUAGAUUUUAUGGAGUUUGAUCCAUUAAAAACACAAGGGGAACCUGGAGCUGAGGAUCACCCAAGUGUGAACCCAGCUACCGGUCAGGAAGAGUUGAAAAAAGGAAUCUCUGUUACCCCCUCAACAGGUGGGACGGCCUCACCACCAGCCGAUGAGGUUCGGAGGCUGGAGUUUACUCCAUUGCCUACCCCAGCUAGAAAAGAACAGCCCCAGCCAGUAAAGACAGCUGGGAUCGAAAAGCCUCAGUGGAUAGGGGAAGUUUAUGGAGAAGUGCAAGCUGAUAAAGAUGCUCUGGCAGAUAUUCUGCGAAGAGUAAUCAAAGUAGAAGAGAGAGUAAAGAAAGAAAACUUGGCUGUCUUUGAUGAAGAAGAUGAGAUAGAGGAAGAGAAUGAGCCAGACUGUGUGGAAGGUUGUGAAGCUCGACCAGACACCAAAAUGGCAGGAAUGAAGUUGCGAUCACAGAAAACUGUGUAUCGGACGGAAAAACCGAAACAAAAGCUGGUGAGCCAGGAUAAGACUAUAGCAGGGCGAGAAAAACGACAGUCUAUGUUCAGAAAAUAUAAUCUGCUGAAGCCUGAAGAAAAGGAAGUGCACUUCAAGAAUAGCUUAGAUAACCUAGAAUGGGAGAUGCCCUUAAUGUGUGGAGCAAAGCAGGAACCAGUGUAUCGUUCAUACAAGAUGAGGGAUUUGGAGGCCCUAGUUCAGCAGCUGCCCCCUAUAACAGAGGGAGGAGCAGCGUGGUUAAGGAAGUUAAGAACCUUAACAGAAGGGGACGAACUUGCGAUGGGCGACUUUAGAGCCAUUGCAGGGAGAACUAUGAUAGCUGGAGGUCUAGCAGACGUGGAAGAAAUUGCUAAAACUACCACUCUUCCAAAUGAUGUGCCAUAUAGUAGAGUAGAAGAUAAGCUAGCUGACGCAGUUCGUGAAAAAUACAUAACUCCAAAUGUAGGUUCAAUACCAAAAAUAACUUGGGAUCCAAAAUACACUCCCAGAGAAUUUUUAGAAAAAGCUAAGGAACAGUGGAUGUCACAAACUGGCAUACAUCCAGGUCAAGAAGGUAAGAACAGAGCUUGGUUCCGUGCCGCGGUACUGAAGGGGCUGCCAGAUAAAGUAACAACUGAUUUAGAAAAGAAUCCAGAUUUUGCAGUAGCAGACUCCACCCAGUGGGAGCGGCAUGUGACACAUCGGUUACAGUUGGAACAAGAUACGGUAAACAAACAAAAGAAGGAGUUAGAAGAAGCACAGGCGCAACUGCUAAAAUUACAGUUGAAUGAAGCUCGUGAGAAGAAUAGUGCUAAGAAAAAGGAGAAAGAGGUUAGUAAACCUAUGAUGGUGGUUCAGCCCCAGGCUGAUCCAGCGCCCGAGCAACCAGAGCGUGCUCCCAGUUCUUAUCCUGGUGACCGUGAAAUACCAAGGCAAAGACGCACAGGUAGAAAUCGGGGGGCCAACCGUUCACAGAGGGGACGUGGUGGACUCUGGCGACCAGACCCUGGAGCUCGUGGUUCAGGGAAUCCCAGAACGAAUUCAUGGAAUGUCUGCUACCAAUGUGGAAGAGAGGGGCACUGGGCUCGAGAAUGCCGUGAGUUGCCCCGAAGCUAUGAACAAAGAGAUUACCAGGCAUGGGAGGCCCAGAGAGGCAGAGGCGGUUACCAAGACAGACAUCAAGCUCCCAAUCCAAGUGUUGCGCCGCGGUCUCAGUAUCCAGUGGGAGACUAG